This 254-nucleotide ribosomal RNA is filed under the name uncultured bacterium. RNAcentral's name for it is "partial 16S ribosomal RNA". It matches the Rfam family "Bacterial small subunit ribosomal RNA", at positions 524 to 776 of the family's 1533-position model. The record is from RNAcentral.
UACGAAGGGGGCUAGCGUUGCUCGGAAUCACUGGGCGUAAAGGGUGCGUAGGCGGGUCUUUAAGUCAGGGGGUGAAAUCCUGGAGCUCAACUCCAGAACUGCCUUUGAUACUGAGGAUCUUGAGUUCGGGAGAGGUGAGUGGAACUGCGAGUGUAGAGGUGAAAUUCGUAGAUAUUCGCAAGAACACCAGUGGCGAAGGCGGCUCACUGGCCCGAUACUGACGCUGAGGCACGAAAGCGUGGGGAGCAACAGGG